UGAGGAAUAUUGGUCAAUGGGCGAGAGCCUGAACCAGCCAAGUCGCGUGAAGGACUACGGCCCUAUGGGUCUUAAACUUCUUUUGUAUAGGGGUAAAGAUAUGUACGUGUACAUAAUUGCAAGUACUAUACGAAUAAGGAUCGGCUAACUCCGUGCCAGCAGCCGCGGUAAUACGGAGGAUCCGAGCGUUAUCCGGAUUUAUUGGGUUUAAAGGGUGCGUAGGCGGGGCAUCAAGUCAGUGGUGAAAUGGUGUGGCUCAACCCGGUGUCGCCGUUGAAACUGGCGUGCUCGAGUGCGUGCGAGGAAGGCGGAAUGCGUUGUGUAGCGGUGAAAUGCAUAGAUAUGACGCAGAACUCCGAUUGCGAAGGCAGCUUUCCAGCGCGCUACUGACGCUGAGGCACGAAAGCGUGGGGAUCGAACAGGAUUAGAUACCCUGGUAGU
RNAcentral lists this ribosomal RNA (441 nucleotides) under uncultured Paludibacter sp. RNAcentral describes it as "bacterial SSU rRNA". It matches the Rfam family "Bacterial small subunit ribosomal RNA", at positions 355 to 794 of the family's 1533-position model. Lineage: Bacteria; Pseudomonadati; Bacteroidota; Bacteroidia; Bacteroidales; Paludibacteraceae. The record is from RNAcentral.